GGGUGAAAAAAACAUGUUGAGCUUAACAUGUUAAUGUUAAAUGGGACAGAAAUACAAUGUGCUGCCUACUUUUGAAUUAAAUGCUAAAUAGCAGUAUUAUACAUUUUGGGAAAAUAUUCAAAAAAUAAAAUACCCUAGAAUGGAGUUUCUUGGCAGCUCUGUACUAAUUUUAAUAGUUCUUGAAUCUCCUUUUUCACCUUAGAAAUUUUAGUCACACUUUAAAAAUCUGGGCAAAAUAUAUGUCCAGCAAACAGCCAAGAGCCAGAUGUAUUAAAUGAUCAUAUUUACGCUCCCAAAAGAAAAUUCAAAAUGAAGCAUGUUGAUAAUAAACAUUUUGGACGUGAUGUUGGAGAACAAUUGCAACCUGCCCAGAUGUUCAGCUCGCCCAAAGGCUGCCUCCUUGGUGACUUGUUUCAUCUUGAGUCUAGAGAGACCAGGCUGGGGAAGAAAACCACCUCCAGCCAGCCGUUCCAGCACAGCCCCACUGGCCAAAGCACACACUCACACAAUGAAAACACUGAAACUUUUUCUUAAAACAAAUUUUUCUCCCAUUGUCAUGGUUCUGUAUAUUAACACAAAAUUUUCUUUUCUCAUAGGAGAGAUUAUUUCAUUCAAUAUUUUUUAUGAAUUAUUUACCAUUUGUACUUCAAUAGUAGCAGAAGACAAAAAAGGUAAUUGUAUGCUGAGGGAGGGUGGGCAGCAUGAAGCACUACAUACAGAAAAAUCUUCUAAAUGAAAUUAGAACUUCUAAAAUUUGGGCUUGCUAUGUAAAUUCUGUGUAUGUUGCGUACAGCUUUUUAUUUCUUGGUAAAAUUUUGUGAUUGUACUGAAAAUUUUCCUUAUUUUCAGACUACUGUACUGCCUAUUAAAGUUGAUUUCAGACAUGCAAAAAACCUGGAAGAAAUGUUUCAGGGCUAGAAACAUUCUUCUCUUUCUCAUAGUUUACUUCUACCCAUCUACAUGAUUUGAUAGAAGUGCUCGCAGGAGGUGCUUCCUUAUCUUCGUGUAUGUCAUGACAUCUGUCCUUUUCUUGAGGCCCAGAACACACAUUCUACCAUCCUUUCCCAGCCAGGCAACCCAAUGGAUACCAGCCUCACUUUCCCGUAUUUUUCCUGACUGGUCCCCAGAGUACAAAGCACAGGACAACUUCACUAACUCACCCUGAUCUUUGACCUAUACUCUGGGUAUAAAUCUGCCUGUACCUUACCCUUGAGAUGUCCUGCUCUAGGGGAUGGUGCCUGAAGGGAAACAUUUGAUGAAUCACAGUAAUUGAGGCUCAGAUUUCUGUGUCCUGGUAGAACCAUGUGAUAGUGAACCAAAACGUGACCAUUGAUUCCUUUUCCCAUAUUCUGAUCUUACCUGGAAACCCGUGCUCUCAAAUUUUGUGGGGUUAUCUGGCAGAUUGACAGUGACAACAGUCCCAUCUGGUGAAGGCUUAGGAUAUUAGGAUAUUUCUUACUUCUUAUUGUUUGAAGAAACAAUUGUGAAUAUAAAUUAAUCAAAAUUAGAGGCCAGGCACAGUGGCUUACCCCUGUAAUGCCAGCACUUUGCGAGGCUGAGGCGGGCGAAUCAUCUGAGGUUGGGAGUUUGACACCAGACUGGCCAACAUGGUAAAACCCCUUCUCUACUAAAAGAAAAAUACACACACACACAAAAAAAGUAGCCAGGUGCGGUCGCACAUGUCUGUAAUCCCAACUACGUGGAAGGCUGAGGCACAAGAAUUGCUUGAACCUGGGAGGCAGAGGUUGCAGUGAGCUGAGAUCGCACCACUGCACUCCAGUCUGGCCAACAGAACGAGACUCUGUCUCAGAAAUUAAUUAAUUAAUCAAAAUUAAUUGUCCAGCUUUGAUUUAGAAUCUUAACUGCUAUUACACGUCUCUUCUGUCUACCUUCAAAUAGGUCAUCUAAUACAUGGGAGAAACAUGGAUUUUGGAGUGUUUCUUGGGUGGAACAUAAAUAAUGAUACCUGGGUCAUAACUGAGCAACUAAAACCUUUAACAGUGAAUUUGGACUUCCAAAGAAACAACAAAACUGUCUUCAAGGCUUCAAGCUUUGCUGGCUAUGUGGGCAUGUUAACAGGAUUCAAACCAGGACUGUUCAGUCUUUCACUGAAUGAACGUUUCAGUAUAAAUGGUGGUUAUCUGGGUAUUCUAGAAUGGAUUCUGGGAAAGAAAGAUGCCAUGUGGAUAGGGUUCCUCACUAGAACAGUUCUGGAAAAUAGCACAAGUUAUGAAGAAGCCAAGAAUUUAUUGACCAAGACCAAGAUAUUGGCCCCAGCCUACUUUAUCCUGGGAGGCAACCAGUCUGGGGAAGGUUGUGUGAUUACACGAGACAGAAAGGAAUCAUUGGAUGUAUAUGAACUCGAUGCUAAGCAGGGUAGAUGGUAUGUGGUACAAACAAAUUAUGACCGUUGGAAACAUCCCUUCUUCCUUGAUGAUCGCAGAACGCCUGCAAAGAUGUGUCUGAACCGCACCAGCCAAGAGAAUAUCUCAUUUGAAACCAUGUAUGAUGUCCUGUCAACAAAACCUGUCCUCAACAAGCUGACCGUAUACACAACCUUGAUAGAUGUUACCAAAGGUCAAUUCGAAACUUACCUGCGGGACUGCCCUGACCCUUGUAUAGGUUGGUGAGCACACGUCUGGCCUACAGAAUGCGGCCUCUGAGACAUGAAGACACCAUCUCCAUGUGACCGAACACUGCAGCUGUCUGACCUUCCAAAGACUAAGACUCGCGGCAGGUUCUCUUUGAGUCAAAAGCUUGUCUUCGUCCAUCUGUUGACAAAUGACAGACCUUUUUUUUUUCCCCCUAUCAGUUGAUUUUUCUUAUUUACAGAUAACUUCUUUAGGGGAAGUAAAACAGUCAUCUAGAAUUCAUUGAGUUUUGUUUCACUUUGACAUUUGGGGAUCUGGUGGGCAGUCGAACCAUGGUGAACUCCACCUCCGUGGAAUAAAUGGAGAUUCAGCGUGGGUGUUGAAUCCAGCACGUCUGUAUGAGUAACGGGACAGUAAACACUCCACAUUCUUCAGUUUUUCACUUCUACCUACAUAUUUGUAUGUUUUUCUGUAUAACAGCCUUUUCCUUCUGGUUCUAACUGCUCUUAAAAUUAAUAUAUCAUUAUCUUUGCUGUUAUUGACAGUGAUAUAAUUUUAUUACAUAUGAUUAGAGGGAUGAGACAGACAUUCACCUGUAUAUUUCUUUUAAUGGGCACAAAAUGGGCCCUUGCCUCUAAAUAGCACGUUUUGGGGUUCAAGAAGUAAUCAGUAUGCAAAGCAAUCUUUUAUACAAUAAUUGAAGUGUUCCCUUUUUCAUAAUUACUCUACUUCCCAGUAACCCUAAGGAAGUUGCUAACUUAAAAAACCGCAUCCCAGGUUCUGUUAAUUUAGUAAAUAAACAAGUCAAAGACUUGUGGAAAAUAGGAAGUGAACCCAUAUUUUAAAUUCUCAUAAGUAGCAUUCAUGUAAUAAACAGGUUUUUAGUUUGUUCUUCAGAUUGAUAGAUAGUUUUAAAGAAAUUUUAGUAGUUACUAAAAUUAUGUUACUUUAUUUUUCAGAAAUCAAACUGCUUAUGAAAAGUACUAAUAGAACUUGUUAACCUUUCUAACCUUCACGAUUAACUGUGAAAUGUACGUCAUUUGUGCAAGACCGUUUGUCCACUUCAUUUUGUAUAAUCACAGUUG
RNAcentral lists this small RNA (3676 nucleotides) under Pan troglodytes (chimpanzee). RNAcentral describes it as "retained intron". The record is from RNAcentral. Lineage: Eukaryota; Metazoa; Chordata; Mammalia; Primates; Hominidae.